This 492-nucleotide ribosomal RNA is filed under the name uncultured bacterium. Its description in RNAcentral is "partial 16S ribosomal RNA". It matches the Rfam family "Bacterial small subunit ribosomal RNA", at positions 29 to 507 of the family's 1533-position model. The record is from RNAcentral.
AGUGAACGCUGGCGGUAUGCCUAACACAUGCAAGUCGAACGACAGCACCGUAAGAGCUUGCUCUUACGGGUGUCGAGUGGCGGACGGGUGCGGAAUACAUCGGAAUAUACUUUGUAGUGGGGGAUAACGUAGGGAAACGUACGCUAAUACAGCAUACGACCUACGGGGGAGAGCAGGGGAUGUUCGGACCUUGCGCGAUUGAAAGAGCCGAUGUCGGCGUAGCUAGUUGGCGGGGUAAAGGGCUACAAAGGCCACAAUCGGUAGGUGGUCUGAGAGGAAGAUUACCCACACUGUAACUGAGACACGGCCCAGACACCUACGGUAGGCCGCGGUGGGGAAUCUUGCACGAGGGAGGAAAGCGUGAUCCAGCCAUACCGCGGGAGUGAUGAAGGAGUUCGGGUUGUAAAGCGAUGUAGGUGGUAAAGAAAAAAAGCAGUUUAAUACCCCGUUGUUCUGACGGUACCCAAAGAAUAAGCACCGGCUAACUUCGUG